This 388-nucleotide RNase P RNA is filed under the name Bdellovibrionales bacterium. Its description in RNAcentral is "RNase P RNA component class A". It matches the Rfam family "Bacterial RNase P class A". Rfam says of the family: Ribonuclease P (RNase P) is a ubiquitous endoribonuclease, found in archaea, bacteria and eukarya as well as chloroplasts and mitochondria. Its best characterised activity is the generation of mature 5'-ends of tRNAs by cleaving the 5'-leader elements of precursor-tRNAs. The record is from RNAcentral. Lineage: Bacteria; Pseudomonadati; Bdellovibrionota; Bdellovibrionia; Bdellovibrionales.
GAAGUGGACCAGACGAUCGCUGGUGCCGGUUUGGGCACGAGAGGAAAGUCCGGGCUCCAAAGAGCAGAGUGGUCGGUAACGCCGACCGGUCGCGAGACUAGGGCAAGUGCAGCAGAAAGCAAACCGCCUAGCGAUGGAUUCCAUCGUUCGGUAAGGGUGAAACGGUGAGGUAAGAGCUCACCAGCAGACGAGGCGACUCGUUUGGCUAGGUAAACCCCACUCGGAGCAAGGCCAAACAGAAAGGAGCGGAGCGCAUUGCGGUUCGCACGGUUCGGCUCGAACCGUUGACUUUCGGGUAGGCUGCUGGAGACGUCAAGCAAUUGCCGUCCUAGAUAAAUGAUCGUCCGCUGCAAAGUGACAGAACCCGGCUUAUCGGUUCACUUCCCGU